GACGAACGCUGGCGGCGUGCCUAAUACAUGCAAGUAGAACGCACAGUUUAUACCGUAGCUUGCUACACCAUAAACUGUGAGUUGCGAACGGGUGAGUAACGCGUAGGUAACCUGCCUGGUAGCGGGGAUAACUAUUGGAAACGAUAGCUAAUACCGCAUAAUAUUGAUUAUUGCAUGAUAAUUGAUUGAAAGAUGCUAUUGCAUCACUACCAGAUGGACCUGCGUUGUAUUAGCUAGUAGGUGAGGUAACGGCUCACCUAGGCGACGAUACAUAGCCGACCUGAGAGGGUGAUCGGCCACACUGGGACUGAGACACGGCCCAGACUCCUACGGGAGGCAGCAGUAGGGAAUCUUCGGCAAUAGACGAAAGUCUGACCGAGCAACGCCGCGUGAGUGAAGAAGGUUUUCGGAUCGUAAAGCUCUGUUGUAAGAGAAGAACGGGUGUGAGAGUGGAAAGUUCACACUGUGACGGUAUCUUACCAGAAAGGGACGGCUAACUACGUG
Molecule: ribosomal RNA, 504 nt
Filed under: uncultured bacterium
Lineage: Bacteria
Description: partial 16S ribosomal RNA
Rfam family: Bacterial small subunit ribosomal RNA
Source: RNAcentral